GGGUUUGGGAGGAGAAACAAGGCAGAGCGGUCUGGCUGGCGGCUGAAAGGGCAGCUCACGGCAGGGAGAGCAGGUUGGGCGAGCUCUGGGGGCAGUCGGGGCCGGCACGGAGUCGAGGCGGGGUCUGCGGGCUCGUCUUGUGUCUGCGAAGCGGGGAGCCGCCCAGCUAGGCGAGCAGGGGAUAAAAGUCGGGCCGGUGCAGGCGCGCCCCCUCCCUCCAGCACAUCGGACAGGGAGGGCUCAAACCGGCUGCCUGGGACUGACAGUUUCCUUGUAGCCCAAAUCUGUGUUCUUCUCUCAUUAUGACUUGGGCCACCAGUCCCUGAAACUGAAAGGAAUAUGGUGCAGAAGACGAUGUGUUCCAUUGGAAAUGUAAUGGGUCUGGAGUAAGGAGGACUUAGAUUUGAAUUCUGUUUUUUGAUACCUGUGUGGAGGGCAAUUCACAAUGUCCAUGGGCCUCAGGUUCCUGAUAUAUAAUAUUAAAGAGUUAGACAGAUAACUAAUAUCCCUCCAUGCCUGAGUUUAUGAUCCAAUGACUUAGUAAAAAUUCCCUAGAAGUUGUGUAAAAUUUAUAUUAUACUUGAUUGUUUGUUGUUAUAGAAUAGUGAAUUUAGAGCUUUCUUCAUUUUACAGAUCAUGAAACCAAGGGCCAGAGAUAGGAAUAGACUUGCCCAAGGUACCAAGGGCUGUCAAUGAGAGAUCUAGAAAGGAUUUCUUUUUAGGUUCUCUGGCUUCAAAUCCACUUCUUUUCAGUGUGCCAUACUGCCCUGUCUAGGGCAGCUGCCUAUCGUGGGGCCUGAAGUCAGAAAGACUCACCUUUGUGAGUUUAAAUCUGGCCUCAGACACUUAACUAGCUGUGUGACCCUGGACAAUUCACUUAACCCUGUUUGCCUCAGUUCCUUGCCUGUAAAACCACUGGAGAAGAAAAUGACAAGCCAUUCCAGUAUCUCUGCCAAGAAAACCCAAAUGAGGUCACAGAGAGUAAAAUGAUUUAACAACAAAAAUACUGUUUCUUCAGACUUUCAAAGCUUUAUGACUAAGUAAAACCCACUUGACUUUCCAUAUUGCAAUUCAUUAUUUUUUUUAAACAUCUUAAUGUAGGGUAAAAAAAAUUUCCAUGGUAAGUGUCCAUAUAUUGCUUAUUUCAGAAGGAAAAUCAUUCUAUUUUAGUAAUCGUUUAUUGUCCUCCAAAGCAGAUUUUUCAAAGCUCUAUCAAUGUGUUCUGAAUUUAUCUGUCAAAAACUGUUGUAAUUCCAGUUAAUAAUGCUUUAUUAUAUGGUUCCAUUUUUCUCCUUCCUGAGCCCUUGAAGGAGUGUUUUUGAAAUUAGCUGUUUAACCCUCUUACAUACAUUUUGAUUUCCUCUUAAAGAAAAAUAAAAGCAGAAGCAGCUUUGUUUCUUGCA
RNAcentral lists this long non-coding RNA (1403 nucleotides) under Phascolarctos cinereus (koala). RNAcentral's name for it is "lncRNA (ENSPCIG00000035869.1)". Lineage: Eukaryota; Metazoa; Chordata; Mammalia; Diprotodontia; Phascolarctidae. The record is from RNAcentral.